This 469-nucleotide ribosomal RNA is filed under the name uncultured bacterium. RNAcentral describes it as "partial 16S ribosomal RNA". It matches the Rfam family "Bacterial small subunit ribosomal RNA", at positions 28 to 507 of the family's 1533-position model. The record is from RNAcentral.
GACGAACGCUGGCGGCGUGCUUAACACAUGCAAGUCAAACGGAAAGGCCCUGCUUGCAGGGUGCUCGAGUGGCGAACGGGUGAGUAACACGUGGGUGAUCUGCCCCUUACUUUGGGAUAAGCCUGGGAAACUGGGUCUAAUACUGGAUAGGACCAUGCUGUAGGUGGUGUGGUGGAAAGAUUAGUUUCGGUAAGGGAUGAGCUCGCGGCCUAUCAGCUUGUUGGUGGGGUAAUGGCCUACCAAGGCGUCGACGGGUAGCCGGCCUGAGAGGGUGGACGGCCACAUUGGGACUGAGAUACGGCCCAGACUCCUACGGGAGGCAGCAGAGGGGAAUAUUGCACAAUGGGCGCAAGCCUGAUGCAGCGACGCCGCGUGGGGGAUGACGGCCUUCGGGUUGUAAACUCCUUUCAGCCAUGACGAAGCCCUUGUGGUGACGGUAGUGGUAGAAGAAGCACCGGCUAACUACGUG